AACAAAGUGCCUGAAAAAGGAUAGAACUGAUAAUACUAUAAUGUAUAAUAUACCUUUGUUA
This 61-nucleotide transfer RNA is filed under the name Cyphocaris challengeri. RNAcentral describes it as "tRNA-Ile". The record is from RNAcentral. Lineage: Eukaryota; Metazoa; Arthropoda; Malacostraca; Amphipoda; Cyphocarididae.